CCGUGCCGUCGCUAACGCACUAAGUACCCCGCCUGGGGAGUACGGCCGCAAGGCUAAUACUCAAAGGAAUUGACGGGGGCCCGCACAAGCAGCGGAGCAUGUGGUUUAAUUCGACGCAACGCGAAGAACCUUACCUGGGCUUGACAUGUUGGUGACCGCCGUGGAAACACGGUUUUCCUUCGGGACACCAUCACAGGUGGUGCAUGGCUGUCGUCAGCUCGUGUCGUGAGAUGUUGGGUUAAGUCCUGCAACGAGCGCAACCCCCGUUCCAUGUUGCCAGCAUUCAGUUGGGGACUCAUGGGAGACUGCCGGUGACAAACCGGAGGAAGGUGGGGAUGACGUCAAGUCAUCAUGCCCCUUAUGUCCAGGGCUACACACGUGCUACAUUGGCGCAUACAAAGGGCAGCAAUACCGCGAGGUGGAGCAAAUCCCAUAAAGUGCGCCUCGGUUCGGAUUGGAGGCUGAAACUCGCCUCCAUGAAGGUGGAGUUGCUAGUAAUCGCGGAUCAGCAAUGCCGCGGUGAUACGUUCCCGGGCNUUGUACACACCGCC
Molecule: ribosomal RNA, 551 nt
Filed under: uncultured bacterium
Lineage: Bacteria
Description: bacterial SSU rRNA
Rfam family: Bacterial small subunit ribosomal RNA
Source: RNAcentral